Molecule: non-coding RNA, 350 nt
Organism: Plectropomus leopardus (leopard coralgrouper)
Lineage: Eukaryota; Metazoa; Chordata; Actinopteri; Perciformes; Serranidae
Source: RefSeq, a predicted model, not a curated record
CUCAGACCUCCGGGUCAUCACGCUCAGUCUAACGAGUCUAACGGUUUCUGUGUUUUCAACAACGUGGCGAUCGCAGCUCGAUACGCUCAGAAGAGACACUCAGUCAGCAGGGUGUUGAUAGUGGACUGGGAUGUCCAUCAUGGUCAGGGGAUCCAGUACCUGUUCCAAGACGACCCCAGUGUGCUGUACUUUAGUGUCCACAGGUACGAGCAAGGGUCGUUCUGGCCUCACCUGUCGGAGUCAGACAGUCAGUUUAUUGGCAGCGGCCGUGCUGAAGGCAAAAACAUCAACCUGCCCUGGAACAAGGUCACCGUUCACACUGUUUACACCAUUCACAGUGAUAACACUCU